Molecule: non-coding RNA, 74 nt
Filed under: unclassified sequences
Also listed under: 1 other name
Description: S15-Methanomicrobia ribosomal protein leader
Rfam family: S15-Methanomicrobia ribosomal protein leader
Source: RNAcentral
AGCACUUUUAACUGUGCUGACAGAUGUAAGUCCGACGUGCGACACCGCACUGCCAAAGAUGGCUUUGGGAUUAC